This 105-nucleotide microRNA precursor is filed under the name Canis lupus familiaris (dog). RNAcentral's name for it is "mir-8834 microRNA precursor family". It matches the Rfam family "mir-8834 microRNA precursor family". RNAcentral also lists the same sequence under 1 other name. Lineage: Eukaryota; Metazoa; Chordata; Mammalia; Carnivora; Canidae. The record is from Rfam by way of RNAcentral.
AGGAGGAACAACCACAGUGGCUGGGCCAGCUUUGGAGCCCAGGAUUCAGCUCCCACAGUAGCUACAGAGCUCUCAGCCUACUGGGCCAGGAGGCUCCGUGGUGGG